UAAGACGAACCGUGCGAACGUUGUUCGGAAUCACUGGGCUUAAAGGGCGCGUAGGCGGGCUGCCAAGUCUGGGGUGAAAUCCCACGGCUCAACCGUGGAACUGCCUCGGAUACUGGCGGCCUCGAGGGGGGUAGGGGCAUGCGGAACUGUAGGUGGAGCGGUGAAAUGCGUUGAUAUCUACAGGAACUCCGGUGGCGAAGGCGGCAUGCUGGACCUUCACUGACGCUGAGGCGCGAAAGCCAGGGGAGCAAACGGGAUUAGAUACCCCGGUAGUCCUGGCCCUAAACGAUGGGUACUAGGUAGUAGACUAGACAUGGGUUUACUGCCGAAGCAAAAGUGCUAAGUACCCCGCCUGGGGAGUAUGGUCGCAAGGCUG
RNAcentral lists this ribosomal RNA (376 nucleotides) under uncultured bacterium. Its description in RNAcentral is "bacterial SSU rRNA". It matches the Rfam family "Bacterial small subunit ribosomal RNA", at positions 521 to 896 of the family's 1533-position model. The record is from RNAcentral.